RNAcentral lists this non-coding RNA (29 nucleotides) under Cricetulus griseus (Chinese hamster). Lineage: Eukaryota; Metazoa; Chordata; Mammalia; Rodentia; Cricetidae. The record is from RNAcentral.
CAGACAGGGAACUGGUAGCUUGAGAUGCU